Long non-coding RNA from Octopus sinensis (East Asian common octopus), 714 nucleotides. RefSeq lists it as uncharacterized. Lineage: Eukaryota; Metazoa; Mollusca; Cephalopoda; Octopoda; Octopodidae. The transcript has 2 exons. The record is from RefSeq and is a predicted model, not a curated record.
ACGAGGAAGAGCAGGAGGAACGGAGGAAAAGAGAAAAGAGAGAAAAAGAAGAGAUAAGGAGGAAGAAGAGAAAGAAAUAGCAAGGUGACUGGGGAAGCAAAAGAUGGUGAAGAAAGAAAUAUCUCCCCACCUCACUUGUUUUGGAGACAGCAAGAAAACAUAUCUAGACAUCUUACAAUGGACAAUGCUAUGUGAAACUGUGGCUUUUAUUCAGCAAUCAGCUUCUGUUUUUGUUUUUGUUAACAACUUCCACUUAUAUUUGAAGCAAAUAUAUAUACAUAUAUAUCUCCUGUAUAACUGACUUCAUUGAUUUAUCUUUUACGAAGCUACAUGGUGACCUAAGCUGAAAGGUUGAAUGGGGAACAUAGGUAGUGAAAUUUGAAUAGAAAAAUAUCAACUAUUAAAGCUUAACAGUGUGUGGUAUGGACAAUGAAAUGUUGAUAGUGAAAAUUUGUAAUUUUACAGAAAAAGUUUGACCAUGAAAUGGGGAUUUGGUGAUUGGAACACUAAAAACAUCAGCUGAAAGAUCUGAACUCUUGAUAGCAAAAAGAGGCAAUAAGAGAUGUGCUUUAUAAAGAAAUUUGAGCACUGAAAAGAUAGCUAUGAAACAUGAACAAUGAAAUAUUGGUAGUGAAAUGUAAGCAAUGAGAGAUGUGUAGUAAAAGCUUGAUAAAUAAAAUUUGAGCACUAAAAAAAGAUAGCUCUGAAAUCUGA